CGGACGGGUGAGUAAUGCGUAGGAAUUUACCUCAAAGCGGGGGAUAGCCCGGAGAAAUCCGGAUUAAUACCGCAUGUGCUCUACGGAGUAAAGCGGGCCUCUUCUUGAAAGCUCGCACUUUGAGAUAAGCCUACGUCGGAUUAGCUUGUUGGUAGGGUAAUGGCCUACCAAGGCACCGACGGGUAGCUGGUCUGAGAGGAUGAUCAGUCACACUGGAACUGAGACACGGUCCAG
Molecule: ribosomal RNA, 234 nt
Filed under: uncultured bacterium
Lineage: Bacteria
Description: partial 16S ribosomal RNA
Rfam family: Bacterial small subunit ribosomal RNA
Source: RNAcentral